Molecule: long non-coding RNA, 379 nt
Organism: Lytechinus variegatus (green sea urchin)
Lineage: Eukaryota; Metazoa; Echinodermata; Echinoidea; Temnopleuroida; Toxopneustidae
Exons: 2
Source: RefSeq, a predicted model, not a curated record
UCCAAUUAAACAAGGCUUCUUGGAAGUACCACCCCCCCCUCAAGUCCAAAAAUAGUUUAUACCCCUAAAACCCAGUAGGUACAAUAUAUAUAUAGGCCAAUUUGACCCCCCCCCCCUCUCCAAUUAAACAAGGCUUCUUGGAAGUACCACCCCCCCCCCCUCAAGCCCAAAAAUAGUUUAUACCCCUAAAACCCAGUAGGUACAAUACAGUAUAGGCCAAUUUCAUCCUCUCUCUAAUCAAAUGUAGGGUUCUUGGAAGUACCCCCCCCAGCCAAAAAAAUAGUUUAUACCCCUAAAACCCAGUAGGUACAAUACGGCAAUAUAUAUAGGCCAAUUUCAUCCCCUCUUCAAUUGAAUGUAGGGUUCUUGGAAGUACCCC